RNAcentral lists this long non-coding RNA (282 nucleotides) under Erythranthe guttata (spotted monkey flower). RNAcentral describes it as "long non-coding RNA (EGUT_LNC003440)". Lineage: Eukaryota; Viridiplantae; Streptophyta; Magnoliopsida; Lamiales; Phrymaceae. The record is from RNAcentral.
GCUAGGUCAAAAUUGCGUCUUUUGGUUCUUUUCUCUUCUCUUGCUCUUUCUUAUCGCCACCACCGCCGUCAAAAUAAGAGAUUGGGGGAAGGUUUGAGGCUCAUGUAAAGUAAUUUGUUGGUGGAAACUAAAGUUUCAAUAAAUUAAAAUUUAUUGGUGGGCGGCGGAUCUAGAGAAGAUGGUGGUGUUGGUGAAGGAGAGGUGAGAUGGUGGUGAGCUGCGGCGGAGCCGAAGCGGCAACCCGGUGGAGAUAUGGUGGAUGAGUGCUGAGAAUUGGGUGGG